This 498-nucleotide ribosomal RNA is filed under the name uncultured bacterium. RNAcentral describes it as "bacterial SSU rRNA". It matches the Rfam family "Bacterial small subunit ribosomal RNA", at positions 37 to 507 of the family's 1533-position model. The record is from RNAcentral.
UGGCGGCGUGCCUAAUACAUGCAAGUUGAACGACAACAAAGACACCAGAGCUUGCUCUACCGUCUUUGUUGAGUAGCGAACGGGUGAGUAACGCGUGGGUAACCUGCCUUAUAGCGGGGAUAACUAUUGGAAACGAUAGCUAAUACCGCAUAACAAUAGAGAUUGCAUAAUCUUUAUUUGAAAAGUGCCAACUGGUACACUAUGAGAUGGACCCGCGUUGUAUUAGCUAGUUGGUAGUGUAAUGGACUACCAAGGCGAUGAUACAUAGCCGACCUGAGAGGGUGAUCGGCCACAUUGGGACUGAGACACGGCCCAAACUCCUACGGGAGGCAGCAGUAGGGAAUCUUCGGCAAUGGACGAAAGUCUGACCGAGCAACGCCGCGUGAGUGAAGAAGGUUUUUCGGAUCGUAAAACUCUGUUGUUAGAGAAGAAUGUUGAUUAGAGUGGAAAAUUAAUCAAGUGACGGUAUCUAACCAGAGAGGGACGGCUAACUACGUG